RNAcentral lists this ribosomal RNA (252 nucleotides) under uncultured bacterium. Its description in RNAcentral is "partial 16S ribosomal RNA". It matches the Rfam family "Bacterial small subunit ribosomal RNA", at positions 524 to 776 of the family's 1533-position model. The record is from RNAcentral.
UACGAGGGGGCAAGCGUUGUUCGGAAUUAUUGGGCGUAAAGGGCGCGUAGGCGGUUUGACAAGUCUGAUGUGAAAUCUCUGGGCUCAACCCAGAGUCUGCAUUAGAAACUGUCGGGCUUGAGUAUGGGAGAGGUGAGUGGAAUUUCCGGUGUAGCGGUGAAAUGCGUAGAUAUCGGAAGGAACACCUGUGGCGAAAGCGGCUCACUGGACCAUAACUGACGCUGAGGCGCGAAAGCUAGGGGAGCAAACAGG